Molecule: long non-coding RNA, 255 nt
Organism: Teleopsis dalmanni
Lineage: Eukaryota; Metazoa; Arthropoda; Insecta; Diptera; Diopsidae
Exons: 2
Source: RefSeq, a predicted model, not a curated record
UUGAACAACCCAUUGUUAAUUGCUGUGUAUGGCUUGAGCUAUCUGCUUGAGCGGUUUGUAUAAAUCUUCAGCUAAUGAUGUGAUAAGAAGAAAAACAACACCAGACAUCUUCCACUAAUCACUUAAUACCAAACCCAAGUGUGUUUAGCAAUGAAAAAUAUAUGAAAAUGAAAAAGCAGUUUAUUUAUAGAAGAGUUGCGGUAAUCUUUGAUUCGGGCCUGAUUUAUGAUUUAUCCAAAAACAUUAAAACAAAAA